UUGACAAGCCUUCGGUCCUAAGCUAGGCAUAUGCCUCCACAGAUGCUAUACCUGUUCAUUUAAGCACUUUGGUCACCCUGUCUCUGGGUGCCCCCCCUUGCCCCUCCGAUGGUUGGGGAUUGUGUGAAUUCCAUCUGCAGCGGCCUCUCACCUUUUCCUGCCUAGGUUAUCCUUGUGGCUGUCAACUUGUGCUCAUCCGGCCUGACCUUUCAGGCAUGUGAUGGAACCAGGGUAUAUACGCACCCUGUUGUCUUUUUACUCCCACUACGGACCAGCAGAAUCCUAAACUCUGAUCUCAACCACCCCUGAAGAAGCC
Molecule: long non-coding RNA, 316 nt
Organism: Rana temporaria (common frog)
Lineage: Eukaryota; Metazoa; Chordata; Amphibia; Anura; Ranidae
Exons: 3
Source: RefSeq, a predicted model, not a curated record